Molecule: ribosomal RNA, 300 nt
Filed under: uncultured Pseudomonas sp.
Lineage: Bacteria; Pseudomonadati; Pseudomonadota; Gammaproteobacteria; Pseudomonadales; Pseudomonadaceae
Description: bacterial SSU rRNA
Rfam family: Bacterial small subunit ribosomal RNA
Source: RNAcentral
CCGUAACGACGCGCAACCCUUCGUCCUUAGUUACCAGCACGUUAUGGUGGGCGACUCUAAGGAGACUGCCGGUGACAAACCGGAGGAAGGUGGGGAGUGACGUCAAGUCAUCAUGGCCCUUACGGCCUGGGCUACACACGUGCUACAAUGGUCGGUACAAAGGGUUGCCAAGCCGCGAGGUGGAGCUAAUCCCAUAAAACCGAUCGUAGUCCGGAUCGCAGUCUGCAACUCGACUGCGUGAAGUCGGAAUCGCUAGUAAUCGUGAAUCAGAAUGUCACGGUGAAUACGUUCCCGGGCCUU